UGGGGGAUAUUGCGCAAUGGGCGAAAGCCUGACGCAGCGACGCCGCGUGGGUGAUGAAGGCCUUCGGGUCGUAAAGCCCUGUCGAGGGGGACGAACCGGUCACGACCUAACACGUCGUGGCCCUGACGGUACCCCUAAAGGAAGCACCGGCUAACUCCGUGCCAGCAGCCGCGGUAAUACGGAGGGUGCGAGCGUUGUUCGGAAUCACUGGGCGUAAAGCGCGUGUAGGCGGCCCGUUAAGUCUGAUGUGAAAGCCCGGGGCUUACCCCCGGAAGUGCAUUGGAAACUGGCAGGCUCGAGUCCCGGAGAGGAGGGUGGAAUUCCUGGUGUAGCGGUGAAAUGCGUAGAUAUCAGGAGGAACACCGGUGGCGAAGGCGGCCCUCUGGACGGUGACUGACGCUGAGACGCGAAAGCGUGGGGAGCAAACAGGAUUAGAUACCCCCGUAGUCC
RNAcentral lists this ribosomal RNA (450 nucleotides) under uncultured bacterium. RNAcentral describes it as "bacterial SSU rRNA". It matches the Rfam family "Bacterial small subunit ribosomal RNA", at positions 355 to 796 of the family's 1533-position model. The record is from RNAcentral.